Molecule: long non-coding RNA, 610 nt
Filed under: Drosophila guanche
Lineage: Eukaryota; Metazoa; Arthropoda; Insecta; Diptera; Drosophilidae
Source: RNAcentral
AUUUUUUUAAUGAACGAGCGUGUGGUGGCUCAAGGGGGCUUAGCUGAGGCCACCUGACGGGUCGCUGGUUGCGGAUAGCGAACGGCCUACCUUCGUAGGUAGGGCAGCUGCGAAUAAUCAGGCAUCCCAAAGAAUCUCAUUACAGUUGCCUCUGAGGGAAAGUACCGAAAUAAGCAGUCCAGGACAGCCAGCGGGUGUUCGCGCAGAAUCAACAUUGACGAUGCGCUUGUGGUGCUGCCUCUUAUAAGUACUCACACCCUUCACAAUAAUAAUACAAACAAAAAAUCCAAACGAGAAGGGACGUGUGAGACGCUUCUUACGCGUCACAACUUGUAUACCCGGUAAUCAGACCUUAGCUGUUUUAUUUCUGAAUUUUAUUCAUCUGUCAUCUACAUCUACAUAACUUCUCACGCCAAUACGCUUUAUUAGCUCGCCCCCCUCCCCUAGAGCCACAUUCUACACGAAGCAGAGUGUAAAUGCGAGAAUGAGCAAAAUUACAAAAAAAGCCUGCGGGACGGGGUGGGUUUGGCCACUGCAAAUUAAUUUCUUCAUUUUGGCUAUAAUAAUUAUCCAAUCGGAUCCCAAUCGGAUCGGAAUUCGGUGAUCUGAU